RNAcentral lists this unclassified non-coding RNA (580 nucleotides) under Hevea brasiliensis (rubber tree). The record is from RNAcentral. Lineage: Eukaryota; Viridiplantae; Streptophyta; Magnoliopsida; Malpighiales; Euphorbiaceae.
UGGCGCUGUACUAUGGCUGGAAGAGCUUCAGCGAGGACGAGGACCGGCCGGAGAAGCCACGGCGGUUCGGGAUGACGGAGAUGCGGAGCCCCAAUUACAGCCUCAUGAGCCACAACGCCCUCCAGGAUAUAUUAGAAUCCAUGGGACCUUUUGUCGAUGGUUUGAAGUUCUAUGGUGGCUCUCACAGUUUGAUGCCAAAGGAGUUCAUCAAAGAAAUAACUGAUCUGGCACAUAAGCAUGAUGUGUAUGUUAGUACUGGUGAUUGGGCAGAACACUUGCUACGUAAAGGGCCUUCUGCUUUCAAACAAUAUGUUGAGGAAUGUAAGCUGUUAGGCUUUGACACUAUUGAGCUAAAUACCGGGUCGCUUAAAGUUCCUGAAGAAGCUCUCUUAAGAUUUGUCCGCCUCAUUAAGACUGGUGGUCUUAGAGCCAAACCUCAUUUUGCAGUCAAGUUUGAUGAAUCUGAUAUCCCAAUUGCUGAUGAUAGAGCAUUUGGAGCUUACAUUGCUCCAGUCAACCGGGGUUCUGAGUUGGUUGAGGAUGUGGACCUACUGAUUAGAAAGGCUGAGCGAUGCUUGGA